CGGCGCGCCCGUAGCAACGGGCAGCCAUGCCGGUGUGGCUGCGGGAGUACAGCUGGCGGCAGACUGGCUCCACCGUGUACCUCUCGCUGCCGUUGCGCGGCGGGCGGGCCACCCCCGCCAGCAUCUUCUGCACUGACCAGUACUUGAAGGUAAGCAUCCCUCCCUUUUUAUUUGAAGCUGUUUUAUAUGCUCCUAUUGAUGACACAAAUAGCACCGCAAAAAUUGGAAAUGGAAUAAUUUUCUUCACUUUGUAUAAAAAAGAAGUGGCCAUGUGGGAUUCCCUAACACUAGCAAAUGUUAACAAGGAGAAACUGCAAUAUCUAAGAGAGAAUGCUGUUCUAAAAGCCCAUGAAAAGGCAAAAGAGGAGACGGAAGCAAAAAAAGUUACAAAACAGGAACACAAAAAAUAUGCUUUGGAAGCCACAAUGAAGCUAGAAGAAGCAGAAAGAAAAAGAAUUGAAGAUCUAAAAGAAAAGGAGCGGCAGAAGGUCACUAAGGAGUUGGAGUUAUGGGAAAACCAGCAAAAAGAUGCUGAAAAACAGAAGGAGGUACAAAAAGAAGGGGAACUACAUCAUGAAGUGGAGCAACUAAAGGAGAAGAAAAAGGAAAAAAUUGGCCAAACUAGGAUUCCUAAUGAAGGAACUUCAAAGGCCAGAUUCAAACCUACUAAAGGUCAUGGUUCCUAUAGCAUGUUUUCAGAAAAUUUAAAGGAAGAACAGUUACCAGCUCCUCGCUCUGCUGCUACAAUUAAAAUUAACUUUACAGCACGAGUUUUUCCUACAGCUCUGAGAGAAUCUCGCAUCGCAGAAGAGGAGGAGUGGCUACGUAAACAAGCAGAAGCUCGAAGAACAAUAAGUGCUGAUUUGUCUGAGCUGGAAGAUUUAAAAGAAGAGGAGAAGAAUCCAGACUGGUUAAAGGACAAAGGAAACAAAAUGUUUGCAACAGGAAACUAUCUUGCAGCUGCAAACGCAUAUAACCUCGCAGUGCGGCUAAACAAUAAGCUUCCCCUACUUUAUCUGAAUCGUGCUGCUUGCCACCUUAAACUGAGAAAUUUACAUAAAGUCAUUGAAGAUUCCUCUAAGGCACUAGAACUGCUGACACCACCUGUUCCUGAUAAUGAGAAUGCUCGAGUAAAAGCAUAUGUGAGACGUGGAACAGCGUUUUGUCAGCUGGAAUUAUAUGCUGAAGGUCUCCAGGAUUAUGAAGCAGCUCUCAAGAUUGAUCCUAAAAAUGAAACUAUAGAAAAAGAUGCUGAGAAGAUUCGACACCUAAUUCAAGGAACAAUGCAAGAUUAUUAAUUAAAAAAAAAAAAAACAACAAAACAAAACAACAAAACAAAUCAAAAACUUUUUGACAGGGAUGCUUUUUGGGGGCAUCAGAAGGAAUCUUAGUUCUCUUCAAUAUGUUGUUAACUAGACAUUUUUCUGUUUCACUCAAAACACCUACAGAAUUGUAAAGGACUGGAUAUAUGAAUUGCUAUUUUUGGAAAGUAUAGCAUUAUAACAAAUAUUAUUAGAUAUAUUUUAUAUCAUUUUGAUACAAACUUGUCAUAUUUUUGCUUUCUGUGACAUAUUGGUAGGCUAAAUAUUAAAACAUGCUUUUGGUACUUGAUUUGAAGUUACUCAUAACUAAGUGAAAUAUUUGUCUGGAAAUAUCUACUGAAUCAGACAAUGAGUUUUCAAACAACUUCAGUAGCUCCAUAUAGUCAACACCUAUUAAAUUCUAUCUUUCUGUUCUCCACCAAAGCUUAAACAGUUGUGUUAUAUGGUUGUGGUUAUAUGCUUUCUUCUUUUCUUAUUGUUCAUGCUGUGUUUGGCACAUCUGAAACUAAGACAGUGAAUUUAGAGACUCUAAUUCAGGCAUCUACUUUGGAAAACCUCCACCUGGAAGCAUAGAGGGAGAAGGUUCAGGUGUGGCUUCCAGUUGCUUUACUCAGAGCCUUGAGAGUGCUGAGGUGAGUCAGAAAUGCCUGGGGUAGCUGCUGUUCCUUCUUCCUUUAGAUACUUACUGCAUUGCAAUGGAAGGAGGUGAAAAUACUUUUUAAAUAGCAGUUGGAAGGAAGGCAAUGCAAGAGCUUUAGUGCCUCAGUUGAGUGUAAUGGUAUACUUGCGAAAAUAAGGCUAUUUUCUCUCAUGUAAUUACUGAGGGGAAUUGGGGGCUAAGGAGAGGGGAUAUUGGCAAUGGGAAAAAAAAAAAAUCCAAAGAAGUAGAUGCUGGUUGUAAGUUCCUGAUUUUCUGUUUUGGUUCCAGAGCCAAUUAGAACAAUCUGUAUACGUUUGUAUAGGCUGUUUGUAUUGUAGAGAUUUAUUAUAGCUACUCAAGGCUGUUUUUGAUGUAGGCAGGCAUCUUUUUCUAAUGCUGUGAAAUAGAAACAGUACUGUCUUUAAAGGUUAGGGAAGCAUAUGUGCUCAGUGGCAUGAACUGUAUCUGACUGUUCCAUCUGAUUAUACUGGAAGCAAAUGGAUGUUAAACUUCUGACUUCAAUACCUGAGCUGAUGGUGUGUACACUGUACUGAAGUCAUAUGCAUUAUGUUGGUGGUAGUGUCCUGAGAUGGAGGAAUGUGGAGGCUGGCUUGAAGCUUUAAAACCAGAAAAUAGUUUAAUUAAAAAAACCUUCAGGUCAAUGUCUUUUGCAUUUAACUCUUUCUAAAAAUUAGAGUUCCACAUUUAUGAUACCAUUUUCAAAAGUUUUAUUUUUAUGUGUUUAGGUCUGAUUGAGAGAAGUGUAUUAUCAAAUACACUUUUUGCUGGAGCACCUUCCUUAUGAGGACAGGCUGGGAGAGUUGGGGUUGUUCAGCCUGGAGAAGAGAAGGCUUUGGGUAGACCUUAUAGCGGCCUGCCAGUACUUAAAGGGGGCUACAGGAAAGCUGGGGAGGGACUCUUUAUCAGGGAGUGUAGGGAUAAGACGAGGUUUAACGGUUUUGAACUGAGAGAGGGUAGAUUCAGAUUAGUUCUAAGGAAGAAGUUCUUCCCUGUGCGAGUGGUGAGGCACUGGCACA
Molecule: RNA transcript, 2999 nt
Organism: Tyto alba (common barn owl)
Lineage: Eukaryota; Metazoa; Chordata; Aves; Strigiformes; Tytonidae
Gene: DNAAF4
Gene name: dynein axonemal assembly factor 4
Exons: 10
Source: RefSeq, a predicted model, not a curated record